UCGGGCGGCUUUAGCGCGGUGGUCCCACCCGACCCCAUGAACUCAGAAGUGAAACGCCGUAGCGCCGAUGGUAGUGGGGCUCUCCCAUGAGAGUAGGGAACUGCCAGCA
Molecule: ribosomal RNA, 109 nt
Filed under: Enterobacter cloacae subsp. cloacae
Lineage: Bacteria; Pseudomonadati; Pseudomonadota; Gammaproteobacteria; Enterobacterales; Enterobacteriaceae
Source: RNAcentral